RNAcentral lists this transfer RNA (68 nucleotides) under Stygiocaris stylifera. RNAcentral's name for it is "tRNA-Trp". RNAcentral also lists the same sequence under 1 other name. The record is from RNAcentral. Lineage: Eukaryota; Metazoa; Arthropoda; Malacostraca; Decapoda; Atyidae.
AAGGUUUUAAGUUAAAAAAACUAGUAACCUUCAAAGUUUCUCAUAAGAGAUAAAUCUCUUAAACCUUA